RNAcentral lists this ribosomal RNA (326 nucleotides) under uncultured eukaryote. RNAcentral describes it as "partial 18S ribosomal RNA". It matches the Rfam family "Eukaryotic small subunit ribosomal RNA", at positions 1470 to 1796 of the family's 1831-position model. The record is from RNAcentral.
CCCUUAGAUGUUCUGGGCUGCACGCGCGCUACACUGAUGCACUCAACGAGUUUACGACCUUGCCCGAUAGGGUUGGGUAAUCUUUUUAAAAUGCAUCGUGAUGGGGAUAGAUUAUUGCAAUUAUUAAUCUUCAACGAGGAAUUCCUAGUAAGCGCGAGUCAUCAGCUCGUGCUGAUUACGUCCCUGCCCUUUGUACACACCGCCCGUCGCUCCUACCGAUUGAGUGCUCAGGUGAAUAAUUCGGACUGCAGCAAUGUUUGGAUCACGAACGUUGCAGCGGAAAGUUUAGUGAACCUUAUCACUUAGAGGAAGGAGAAGUCGUAACA